GGGCUGAACCACAUUAUUUUGAGACUUCCGUGAACAUGAGGAUAUUGGCUUAUAAAUGAUUGGAGAGUGUUUUUCGAGUGAUUUGACCGCAAAAUCAAAAUCGUUUGGGUGGGAAGGGCCCUAACGAGGGUAGAUCUAGCGUGUAUCUCGGCUACCACAAGUCGUAGAAAAUCGAAAUUGGUGCCAAAAUGGGGUAGGCUAUUAGUGCCCAAUGACGUAUGAAAUUUUGAAAUAAAAUUUUUAUAAAAAGGUCUGUCGUGCCAGACAACUCGAAAAAUCGAAAAUUCGACUUGUCUGGCACGACAGGCUUUUCAAUAAAAGUGUAAUUUGAAAAUAUCAUUCGUCAUUGGGCACUAAUAUCUACAUUUUAGCACCAACUUCGAUUUUCUGCGACUUGUGGUGGCCGAGAUAUACACGCUAGGUCUACCCUCGUUAGGGCCCUUACCCCCCAA
Long non-coding RNA from Bradysia coprophila, 452 nucleotides. The record is from RefSeq and is a predicted model, not a curated record. Lineage: Eukaryota; Metazoa; Arthropoda; Insecta; Diptera; Sciaridae.